Molecule: long non-coding RNA, 436 nt
Filed under: Ananas comosus (pineapple)
Lineage: Eukaryota; Viridiplantae; Streptophyta; Magnoliopsida; Poales; Bromeliaceae
Description: long non-coding RNA (ACOM_LNC035908)
Source: RNAcentral
AAAUUUUAUAUCCAUUUGCAAGGAAAAGUAAAGAGAGUUUUAGAAUUGCACUUAGGCUUAGUUUGGUAUUGAGGUGGAUCUAACUAGAUAAAAUAGAGUUGAGAAAAAGCAUAUAGGAAUAUGCUUCUACGUUCUUUUAUGGGACCGCAGAAAAUAUAUCGUAACCGUCUAACGCAAUAUGCGGAACGCAAUAUUACGUACGGAAACAAAUGGGAUAUUUUUCUAUCAUCGUUUCUCACCGCACGUAAUGCAAUUUUUUCGCAAUUCCAAACGAAGCCUUAAUUUGGUUUCAUCAAAAUAAAUACUUAGAAACUGAUUCUUUUAAUAUACUCCUCUUAUUUUACAACUUAGUAAACUGAAAUCACCAUCUUGACUACUUAGACCAACUGGUUGAUAUACUUAUUUUAAAGUGUAUCAGUUAUGCUAUGCAGGAAUU